This 1920-nucleotide long non-coding RNA is filed under the name Equus caballus (horse). RNAcentral describes it as "lncRNA (ENSECAG00000030027.3)". Lineage: Eukaryota; Metazoa; Chordata; Mammalia; Perissodactyla; Equidae. The record is from RNAcentral.
GUAAACCAAGAUGGCGUCACGCGAAGAAGCAGUUACCGUUAAUUUACAGAGGAAGCAUUUUUGAGCAUUCCAGGACCCAAAAAAUAAUCUACCACAUCACACCAAAUAACACGUAAACCUAAACUCCCACUAGCACAGUGAAAACAGGAACCAUAUGAUGACUACACAGCCUACAUAAAGCAGAAACUACGUACUCUGCGGUUCACUUCCCAGAACCCGGAGGACAGCGAGUCUGCCUGCCUCCAUGUCGAGGGUCGGGAUUCACUGGCUGCUCUGGCUGCUGUGGUUGAUGUGGAAGGCUUGAGAGAGGACAUGAUGCUUGACUGCUUAGCCUCCAUAAUGGCUUGCUGCCAAACACUCAACGUACUUUCAAAAAGCAAAUCAUCUUUGGAUUUAUUUCGGUUAUGGAAAACAGUAAUGGAAGAUUGCUGGGCUGAUCAAAAUAUGAUUCUUAAUGGGUACAUGGAGGAGACUGUGAUUUGAAAAAGUGAGGCUGUCCCAACUUUCUCCAGAUGACACUCAGAAAAUGUGCCUUUGAAGAGGAAGAUGGGGAAUGGAAGAGGAGAAACAAGAAUAUGAAACCAAUAACAGAAGUUAAGUUCUCCUUAUUUCGAUGACAGACAACAUGUGUGCCAUGUUUCAGCUGAGAAAGCCUUGACACUUGGAAUUGGAUUUUUCAGGGAAUUAAAUGUCCGAGUUUCUCUCUGAAAGUACAAAUGAGAGGGCAGUUUUAAGGAACUUUGGUGACACAGGCUCAUUCCCUUUGGCAGUAGCAUAAGCAACAGCAGUUUAUGGGGAGAAUAGAAAUUCAUUCCGACCCAUGACUUUACAUUACGUUGUGCUUUCUCUCUUGGGGAGGAAGUUUGGACUGCACAGCAACUCUGUGAUCCAAAGCAGCUUGCUUGCCCCAUAGUGUGAUACAAAGCGGUAAUAGUCAGGAGUCCUGAUAACUGAGUCAGAAGGAGAUAUUGCUCUUUUGGUUCCGAGUUGCGGAAGCUUUGCUGGCAUCCACUGCCUGAAAAGCUGAUUCCGUCCCAGAUAGAGGUGAGAUACAUGAACACAGGGAGGACACAGAACACGGCAAGGCAUUGGUAGUAAUAUGAUCAAUUAAUUUAGUAAAGGGUGCCAUCUGACUAUGGAGCCAUCCGACAGGAAAUGUGUGCAAGCCCCACAGUGAAAACAUGAUUUCUGUUAAUUGCCUGCUUUCAUCAUGCAGAUCCCAUGAGGCAGCCAAGCUGGCAUAUGAAAGGACCAGUUACUGGCUAAACUGCUGCCUAAUGUCCUUUGUGGGAGAGAUCUGGGCCUCAGAUUGACCUGAAGUAUAAAACACCAUUGAGUGCUCUAUCUUCUUCUUAAUCUAGGGCAUGACCAUUGGCCCGGAUUUCCCAACAUUCCCCCUCUGUUGUCGGUCAGUCCUUGGCUACUCAACAUUUGUCUCUGCCAGAUCCUUGCUUUACUGACCACGGUUAAAAGCCAGGAAAAGACUGAGGUGACCUUGGGUAUGGGCCACAUUACUGUUCAUUACUUGCUUGAAAAGGAAAAAAAAUGCAAACAAGAAUUAUUCUUCAUAAAGUUGGUUUAAUUCUUGCGAGCAAGUUUAUGAGUCAUUUUAUGAAUGGCUCCCGCUUCAAAUUAGGGCUCCUGUUUCCGCUUCCAAUGAGCCUCUAGUAUUACAUCUAAUAUUGUUUCCUCUCAGCAAUUGAAAUGUACAUCCCUGCUGGGUGGUAAGAAUAGAAUUUCUUUCCGGAAUUCUUUCUUCUUUCUGAAUUGCUUCAUUUUACUUCCCCCAAAACUAAAAUAAAGUAAUUUGUACCUAAAACUAGACAAAAUUAACCUCACGGCUCGUUCUGCUUUCAGUCUGCGACCUGGCUCCUUGGCACAGGAGGCUGCUUUCACUCAUGGCCCCGCCUCACCCCCUCC